RNAcentral lists this ribosomal RNA (484 nucleotides) under uncultured bacterium. RNAcentral's name for it is "partial 16S ribosomal RNA". It matches the Rfam family "Bacterial small subunit ribosomal RNA", at positions 30 to 507 of the family's 1533-position model. The record is from RNAcentral.
AUUGAACGCUGGCGGCAGGCCUAACACAUGCAAGUCGAGCGGAUGAAGGGAGCUUGCUCCUGGAUUCAGCGGCGGACGGGUGAGUAAUGCCUAGGAAUCUGCCUGGUAGUGGGGGAUAACGUCCGGAAACGGGCGCUAAUACCGCAUACGUCCUGAGGGAGAAAGUGGGGGAUCUUCGGACCUCACGCUAUCAGAUGAGCCUAGGUCGGAUUAGUUAGUUAGUGGGGUAAAGGCCUACCAAGGCGACGAUCCGUAACUGGUCUGAGAGGAUGAUCAGUCACACUGGAACUGAGACACGGUCCAGACUCCUACGGGAGGCAGCAGUGGGGAAUAUUGGACAAUGGGCGAAAGCCUGAUCCAGCCAUGCCGCGUGUGUGAAGAAGGUCUUCGGAUUGUAAAGCACUUUAAGUUGGGAGGAAGGGCAGUAAGUUAAUACCUUGCUGUUUUGACGUUACCAACAGAAUAAGCACCGGCUAACUUCGUG